GGUGGUUCUCAGGUGGUGCACCCCCUAAUCAGGCUUCCUCCUCUCUGGUUCCCAGUGCGUCACCCAAGAACUCCA
Molecule: non-coding RNA, 75 nt
Organism: Myotis brandtii (Brandt's bat)
Lineage: Eukaryota; Metazoa; Chordata; Mammalia; Chiroptera; Vespertilionidae
Source: Rfam